Molecule: ribosomal RNA, 426 nt
Filed under: uncultured bacterium
Lineage: Bacteria
Description: partial 16S ribosomal RNA
Rfam family: Bacterial small subunit ribosomal RNA
Source: RNAcentral
GGGGAAUAUUGCACAAUGGGCGAAAGCCUGAUGCAGCAACGCCGCGUGAGUGAUGAAGGUCUUCGGAUUGUAAAGCUCUGUCUUUUGGGACGAUAAUGACGGUACCAAAGGAGGAAGCCACGGCUAACUACGUGCCAGCAGCCGCGGUAAUACGUAGGUGGCGAGCGUUGUCCGGAUUUACUGGGCGUAAAGGGUGCGUAGGCGGAUGUUUAAGUGAGAUGUGAAAUACCCGGGCUUAACUUGGGUGCUGCAUUUCAAACUGGAUAUCUAGAGUGCAGGAGAGGAGAAUGGAAUUCCUAGUGUAGCGGUGAAAUGCGUAGAGAUUAGGAAGAACACCAGUGGCGAAGGCGAUUCUCUGGACUGUAACUGACGCUGAGGCACGAAAGCGUGGGUAGCAAACAGGAUUAGAUACCCUGGUAGUCCACG